RNAcentral lists this ribosomal RNA (1490 nucleotides) under uncultured bacterium. RNAcentral describes it as "bacterial SSU rRNA". It matches the Rfam family "Bacterial small subunit ribosomal RNA". The record is from RNAcentral.
UAGAGUUUGAUCCUGGCUCAGAGUGAACGCUGGCGGCGUGCUUAACACAUGCAAGUCGAACGAGAACGGGUUAUAGCUUGCUAUAACUGUCAGCUAAGUGGCGCACGGGUGAGUAAUAUAUAGGUAAUGUGCCUUAGAGAAGAGAAUAAUUGUUGGAAACGACUUGUAAUGCUCUAUAUGCCCUUAAUACAAAAGUAUGCAGGGGAAAUAUUUAUAGCUCUAAGAUCGGCCUGUACGGUAUCAGCUUGUUGGUGAGGUAAUGGCUCACCAAGGCUAUGACGCCUAACUGGUUUGAGAGGAUGAUCAGUCACACUGGAACUGAGACACGGUCCAGACUCCUACGGGAGGCAGCAGUGGGGAAUAUUGCACAAUGGACGAAAGUCUGAUGCAGCAACGCCGCGUGGAGGAUGACACAUUUCGGUGCGUAAACUCCUUUUAUAUGAGAAGAAAAUGACGGUAUCAUAUGAAUAAGCGCCGGCUAACUCCGUGCCAGCAGCCGCGGUAAUACGGAGGGCGCAAGCGUUACUCGGAAUCACUGGGCGUAAAGAGCGUGUAGGCGGGUAUUUAAGUUNGGAAGUGAAAUCCUAUGGCUCAACCAUAGAACUGCUUCCAAAACUGAAUACCUAGAAUAUGGGAGAGGUAGAUGAAAUUUUGGGGUAGGGGUAAAUUCCGAAGAGAUCAGAAGGAAUACCGAUUGGGAAGGCGAUCUACUGGGCCUUUAUGGACGGUGAGACGCGAAAGCGUGGGGAGCAAACAGGAUUAGAUACCCUGGUAGUCCACGCCCUAAACGAUGUACAUUAGUUGUUGCGAUGCUAGACAUUGCAGUAAUGCAGUUAACACAUUAAAUGUACCGCUUGGGGAGUACGGUCGCAAGAUUAAAACUCAAAGGAAUAGACGGGGACCCGCACAAGCGGUGGAGCAUGUGGUUUAAUUCGACGAUACGCGAAGAACCUUACCUGGCCUUGACAUAGAAAGAAUUUAGCAGAGAUGUAAAAGUGCUAGUUUACUAGAGCUUUCAUACAGGUGCUGCACGGCUGUCGUCAGCUCGUGUCGUGAGAUGUUAGGUUAAGUCCUGCAACGAGCGCAACCCUCGUGUUUAGUUACUAACAGUUCGGCUGAGGACUCUAGACAUACUGCCUGGGCAACCAGGAGGAAGGUGAGGACGACGUCAAGUCAUCAUGGUCCUUAUGCCCUGGGCUGCACACGUGCUACAAUGGCUGGUACAGAAGGAAGCAAUACCGCGAGGUGGAGCAAAUCCCCAAAACCAGCCCCAGUUCGGAUUGGAGUCUGAAAUUCGACUCCAUGAAGUUGGAAUCGCUAGUAAAGGCGUAUCAGCUACGACGCCUUGAAUACGUUCCCGGGCCUUGUUCACACCGCCCGUCACAUCAUGGAAGUCUGCUGUACCCGAAGUCGCUGAUCUAACCAUUUACUUGGAAGAAGGCGCCGAAGGUGUGGCCGGUAACUAGGAUGAAGUCGUAACAAGGUAACCA